Molecule: ribosomal RNA, 669 nt
Filed under: uncultured bacterium
Lineage: Bacteria
Description: bacterial SSU rRNA
Rfam family: Bacterial small subunit ribosomal RNA
Source: RNAcentral
AACGAACGCUGGCGGCAGGCUUAACACAUGCAAGUCGAACGGUUGUAGCAAUACAGCAGUGGCAGACGGGUGAGUAACACGUGGGAACCUUCCUAGGGGUACGGAACAACUCAGGGAAACUUGAGCUAAUACCGUAUACGUCCGUGAGGAGAAAGAUUUAUCGCCCUUAGACGGGCCCGCGUCGGAUUAGCUAGUUGGUGGGGUAACGGCCUACCAAGGCGACGAUCCGUAGCUGAUCUUAGAGGAUGAUCAGCCACACUGGGACUGAGACACGGCCCAGACUCCUACGGGAGGCAGCAGUGGGGAAUCUUGGACAAUGGGCGCAAGCCUGAUCCAGCCAUGCCGCGUGAGUGAAGAAGGUCUUCGGAUUGUAAAGCUCUUUUGCCAGGGACGAUAAUGACGGUACCUGGAGAAUAAGCCCCGGCAAACUUCGUGCCAGCAGCCGCGGUAAUACGAAGGGGGCUAGCGUUGUUCGGAAUUACUGGGCGUAAAGCGCACGUAGGCGGGUCGUUAAGUCAGGGGUGAAAUCCCGGAGCUCAACUCCGGAACUGCCUUUGAUACUGGCGAUCUUGAGAUCGGAAGAGGUGAGUGGAAUUCCCAGUGUAGAGGUGAAAUUCGUAGAUAUUGGGAAGAACACCAGUGGCGAAGGCGGGCUCACUGGUCCGAUAC